UAAAGUGCGAUAUGUAGUGCGAUUUGCAUGAAUCUGUGAGUCAUCUAAUCUUUGAACGCAACUUGCGCCUCUCUGAGGCAUGUCUGUUUGAGUGCCGCAUACCUUUUGCAGCAAUGCGAUUUGAUCAAUGUCUCUGUCGGACUCGAUCUAAACGUAGCCAGAUAGUGGUUAAUGUUACUAGCCCGAGUGCUAAGCAUUCUUGGUUCUAGUGACAAAGAUCAAUAUGGUCAUUCAUUAAUUAAUCAAUUAAUUAAUUAAUGACCUUUUUUUAUAUUUGGCCUCAAAUCAGGCAAGACUACCCGCUGAACUUAA
This 312-nucleotide unclassified non-coding RNA is filed under the name uncultured fungus. RNAcentral describes it as "sequence contains ITS1". The stretch from base 1 to 97 matches the Rfam family "5.8S ribosomal RNA", at positions 49 to 154 of the family's 154-position model. The record is from RNAcentral. Lineage: Eukaryota; Fungi.